AGGAUUUCCAUCUUUGACUUCUGACUUCACAGCUUGAUGAUAAAAACCCAGAGACUCUUAACAAAUUUCCUGCACACUGCACUCUACUAAUCCUGAACCCAGUGCUGAGAUUUUUAUCUAGUCAGCUGGCUGCUCAGCAAGAACAGACUUUUUUAUCAAGAAGAUUCUCAAAAUGGAGGAGGCUGACAUAAAUGACAGGACAAAGGAGCACGCAUUGAAAUAAAAGGAAAGUUCAGAACAGAUGUCAAGAAGCAUUUUUCAUGUUGAAUGUGCGGAGUGGUCAACCAGAGACCAACCAAAAACGCUGUUUCUCAAUCAGCAAAGUUAGACUAUAUGUACCUGUAGAAG
This 348-nucleotide long non-coding RNA is filed under the name Struthio camelus australis. Its description in RNAcentral is "lncRNA (ENSSCUG00000017988.1)". The record is from RNAcentral. Lineage: Eukaryota; Metazoa; Chordata; Aves; Struthioniformes; Struthionidae.